This 253-nucleotide ribosomal RNA is filed under the name uncultured bacterium. RNAcentral describes it as "partial 16S ribosomal RNA". It matches the Rfam family "Bacterial small subunit ribosomal RNA", at positions 524 to 776 of the family's 1533-position model. The record is from RNAcentral.
UACGUAGGUGGCAAGCGUUGUCCGGAUUUAUUGGGCGUAAAGCGAGCGCAGGCGGUCCCUUAAGUCUGAUGUGAAAGCCCCCGGCUCAACCGGGGAGGGUCAUUGGAAACUGGGGAACUUGAGUGCAGAAGGGGAGAGUGGAAUUGCGUGUGUAGAGGUGAAAUGCGUAGAUAUACGGAGGAACACCGGUGGCGAAAGCGGCUCUCUGGUCUGUAACUGACGCUGAGGCUCGAAAGCGUGGGGAGCAAACAGG